RNAcentral lists this ribosomal RNA (460 nucleotides) under uncultured bacterium. RNAcentral's name for it is "partial 16S ribosomal RNA". It matches the Rfam family "Bacterial small subunit ribosomal RNA", at positions 338 to 795 of the family's 1533-position model. The record is from RNAcentral.
CCUACGGGGGGCUGCAGUGAGGAAUAUUGGUCAAUGGACGAGAGUCUGAACCAGCCAAGUAGCGUGAAGGAUGACUGCCCUAUGGGUUGUAAACUUCUUUUAUAAAGGAAUAAAACGAGGCACGUGUGCCUUUUUGCAUGUACUUUAUGAAUAAGGAUCGGCUAACUCCGUGCCAGCAGCCGCGGUAAUACGGAGGAUCCGAGCGUUAUCCGGAUUUAGUGGGUUUAAAGGGGGCGUAGAUGGGUUGUUAAGUCAGUUGUGAAAGUUUGCGGCUCAACCGUAAAAUUGCAAUUGAUACUGGCAGUCUUGAGUACAGUUGAGGUAGGCGGAAUUCGUGGUGUAGCGGUGAAAUGCUUAGAUAUCACGAAGAACCCCGAUUGCGAAGGCAGCUUACUAAACUGUGACUGACAUUGAUGCUCGAAAGUGUGGGUAUCAAACAGGAUUAGAUACCCGGGUAGUC